RNAcentral lists this long non-coding RNA (2106 nucleotides) under Capra hircus (goat). RNAcentral describes it as "lncRNA (ENSCHIG00010002258.1)". The record is from RNAcentral. Lineage: Eukaryota; Metazoa; Chordata; Mammalia; Artiodactyla; Bovidae.
AUGGACUUUAACUCGCCAGGCUCCUCUGUGCAUAGGAUUCUCCAGGCAAGAAUACUGGAGUGGGUAGCCAUUUCCUUCUUCUGGGGGUCUUCCCGACAUGGUAUUGAAACUCUGUCUCCUGCGUUGUCAGGCAGAUGCUUCACCACUGAGCCACGUGGAAAGCAUAGGCCAGAGAAGAGUUUCAGCUAAGCAUCUGCCCAAAUCCCCAUCCUUCAGUAGUUCUCAGUUUUUUAUCUUGUGCAAAUAAUUUACUGGAAUCUGCCUUACUACUUUUCACUGUGAAAAUAAUAAUAAUAAAAAAAACAACUGUCUUUAUGAGCACUUUUAAUGUGUGUUUGGUUCUGCUCUAAGCACUAUACCUGUGUUGCUUACAUUUAUCCUCCUCACAAUCCUAAGAAAUUGGGGUGCCAUUAUUACCCCCAUGGAAAUAAAUGAAGACCAACCAAAUGAAAACAAACAUUCAGCGCUUGCUGUAGGAAGGGAGUUGGCCCCCAUCACUUGCACCUGCCAGAGACUCUGGGCAGUCAGGGGAGUGGGAAAGCUAUAAAAAGGGGGCAGGCUUCAUGUCUGCUCUGAUUAGAAGCUGUUGGCAUGGAGAUGUAGGAGGCAGGCUAACUAGAAGUGGGGCAUCUUUUGUGAUUUGUUUGAGGAGUAUAUUCAGCUUUCUCAGGUUGGUUGUGAGUUGAAAGGAAGGACAAAAAUCUAGGGAAGCUGGCAGUCUUGGCCACAUCCUGACAGUUCUGAGCCAAUUACUGUACAGGUGAUGGUUGGGCUUCCUGGGCUGGUUGCUAUAGAGGUAACAGGCCAGAGUUCUACUGUCAUAGAUAGUUCGACCAUUGUUCAUUUGCCCAUUGUCUCAUUCCUACAUUGUGGGUGAGGAAACCAAGGCACAGAGAACUUAAGUGACUUGGCCAAGGUGUUGUAGCCAAUAAAGCCAGAUUUGGGAUUUGGUGCNNNNNNNNNNNNNNNNNNNNNNNNNNNNNNNNNNNNCUCUGCCUGCCACCUAUCCCAGUCCCUCUCCUUGCCAGUGUGAUCCAGAGCAAAUUUGCUUCAUUCUUCUUGACUCUCUUUCCUCAUUUAACUAAAAAACGAACAAACAAACAAAAACAAGCCAAUUUCCUUGCAGGGUUUUGUGAGAAUUCAAGGAGCUAACAGCUGUAAAAUACCUGGUGUAUGACAGAUACUGGGAAUAUGUGUCUUACCUCUGAGAGAAUAAGAAUGAACUUUGUAAAAAUAGAUUAGUUUGCAAAUAAGAUAGAUCAUUAUUUACAUUCCCCAUUUUUUUUGUUUGUUUUUGACAAGGAGAUUUGGAGAGUUUAUUUGAAACACUUCAGGCUGCUUUACUCUGAAAGGAGUAAGCUUUAUGGCUCCACACCCCCACUACUAAUUUAAUAAAUUGUCUAAAAACUUACCCAUCAUUUCUGCAAAUCCUUUCCAUUGAAAUUGUCACAGUUUAAAGUCAUUUAUGCUAUUUUCCUUACUCUGGCAGUCCCCACAGAAGCAUAUGCUUUCAAUUUACAGAGUUAAACCCAGAGACCAUGAGCUGGUCUGAUUAAUUAGAAAUGACCAGAGUAGGAUGCCGUCCCCAACACAACAGUGACUCUUCUUCAUACUCUCAAUAACUAGUUCAUAUCCCCCAAGCUUUCUUGGUGGUUCAGAUGGUAAAGAAAUCUGCCUGCAGUGUAUGAGGUGUGGGUCUGAUCGCUGGGUCCAGAAGAUUCCCUGGAGAAGGGAAUGGCUACCCACUCUAGUAUUCUUGCCUGNNNNNNNNNNNNNNNNNNNNNGCCUGAUGGGCUACAGUCCAUGGGGUCGCAAAGAAUCAGACAUGACUGAGUGGCUAACACUUUCACUUUUCAUGCUCUAAUUUAAAGCAUUUGGUCUUCAUAGUUGGUUUAUUUCAGGUCCAGAGAACAGUAAUUUGCCCAGCUGCAUUGCUGAUUACCCAAGGGGCUGCCUGAGCUUCUUUGGGGAAUGCAUAGCCCAAAUCAAAGCCUCUGAGAACCUUGGAGAAUCAAAAUGCAGAAACCUUGAUAUUUGCAAGCAAAUAGUACUGAGCUCACAGGGAAAGAAAGCGCAGGGGAAUAAAGGUUGGAUGAGACUUAAUGA